Molecule: transfer RNA, 77 nt
Filed under: Phocaeicola plebeius
Lineage: Bacteria; Pseudomonadati; Bacteroidota; Bacteroidia; Bacteroidales; Bacteroidaceae
Description: Bacteroides plebeius tRNA-Lys
Rfam family: tRNA
About the family: Transfer RNA (tRNA) molecules are approximately 80 nucleotides in length. Their secondary structure includes four short double-helical elements and three loops (D, anti-codon, and T loops). Further hydrogen bonds mediate the characteristic L-shaped molecular structure. tRNAs have two regions of fundamental functional importance: the anti-codon, which is responsible for specific mRNA codon recognition, and the 3' end, to which the tRNAs corresponding amino acid is attached (by aminoacyl-tRNA synthetases). tRNAs cope with the degeneracy of the genetic code in two manners: having more than one tRNA (with a specific anti-codon) for a particular amino acid; and 'wobble' base-pairing, i.e. permitting non-standard base-pairing at the 3rd anti-codon position.
Source: RNAcentral
GCACUCUUAGCUCAGUUGGUAGAGCAACUGACUCUUAUUUGAUGGGUCCAGGGUUCGAAUCCCUGAGGGGUGUACAA